GACGAACGCUGGCGGCGCGCCUAAUACAUGCAAGUCGAGCGGAUGGAAGGAAGCUUGCUUCCUAAAGUCAGCGGCGGACGGGUGAGUAACACGUGGGCAACCUGCCCCUAAGAUCGGGAUAACUUCGGGAAACCGGAGCUAAUACCGGAUAUGAUUAUGUCUCACAUGAGACAUAAUGGAAAGACGGUUUCGGCUGUCACUUAGGGAUGGGCCCGCGGCGCAUUAGCUAGUUGGUGAGGUAACGGCUCACCAAGGCGACGAUGCGUAGCCGACCUGAGAGGGUGGUCGGCCACACUGGGACUGAGACACGGCCCAGACUCCUACGGGAGGCAGCAGUAGGGAAUCUUCCGCAAUGGACGAAAGUCUGACGGAGCAACGCCGCGUGAGUGAAGAAGGUCUUCGGAUCGUAAAACUCUGUUGUUAGGGAAGAACAAGUACCAUAGUAACUGAUGGUACCUUGACGGUACCUAACCAGAAAGCCACGGCUAACUACGUGCCAGCCGCCGCCGUAA
Molecule: ribosomal RNA, 512 nt
Filed under: uncultured bacterium
Lineage: Bacteria
Description: partial 16S ribosomal RNA
Rfam family: Bacterial small subunit ribosomal RNA
Source: RNAcentral